RNAcentral lists this unclassified non-coding RNA (300 nucleotides) under uncultured fungus. RNAcentral's name for it is "partial contains small subunit ribosomal RNA, internal transcribed spacer 1, and 5.8S ribosomal RNA". The stretch from base 1 to 73 matches the Rfam family "Eukaryotic small subunit ribosomal RNA", at positions 1759 to 1831 of the family's 1831-position model. Lineage: Eukaryota; Fungi. The record is from RNAcentral.
ACAAACUUGGUCAUUUAGAGGAAGUAAAAGUCGUAACAAGGUUUCCGUAGGUGAACCUGCGGAAGGAUCAUUAUCGAGUGUGAACCCCCCCUUAGAAAAGGGGAGGGUUUCCUCCAGUCCUUUGCUGGGCACCCUAUUCUAGAAAGGGGUUGCUUUCAAUAUUUUCUGCUUCGGCGGGGUUACCCGCCGGAACACCCUCAAAUUCUAAUUUCAAAUGGUUCUGUCCGAGAAACUUUUUGAAAAAAGUGGAAAACUUUCAACAACGGAUCUCUUGGUUCUGGCAUCGAUGAAGAACGCAGC